Non-coding RNA from Arthromyces matolae, 83 nucleotides. The record is from the annotation of a GenBank genome assembly. NCBI's taxonomy places the organism in Eukaryota, Fungi, Basidiomycota, Agaricomycetes, Agaricales, Lyophyllaceae.
UCGGAUAUGGUGUAACGGCUAACAUUGCCGCCUCUCAUCAUUGCAGUCCGCGGCAGCUCGGGGUUCGAUUCCCCGUAUCCGAA